CUUAAGGAUGUACUUAGGUGAGGUUUUGGAAUUUGUAUCAAAUGUUCGGACUCCUUGGUGUUUUUCCAUACAAUACUAUGUAAAAUAUUUUGCCCCAUAACACCCAUUUAUUUUUUCAUAUAAGACUUAACAGCUCAUGGAAGGUCAUUUGCCAAAAUUUAAGAAGAUUUUCGAUUUUCUUUCUUUUGUUUUGAGACCCAAAUAGUUUCAAUGCAAAUAUAAGGUAAAAGUCCGUGUCAGCCUUUUCC
RNAcentral lists this long non-coding RNA (248 nucleotides) under Mytilus galloprovincialis (Mediterranean mussel). The record is from RNAcentral. Lineage: Eukaryota; Metazoa; Mollusca; Bivalvia; Mytilida; Mytilidae.